CAAACCAAAGCUGGCGACCGGCGCACGGGUGAGUAACACGUAUCCAACCUGCCUCAUACUCGGGGAUAGCCUUUCGAAAGAAAGAUUAAUAUCCGAUAGCAUAUAUUUCCCGCAUGGGUUUUAUAUUAAAGAAAUUCGGUAUGAGAUGGGGAUGCGUUCCAUUAGUUUGUUGGGGGGGUAACGGCCCACCAAGACUACGAUGGACAGGGGUUCUGAGAGGAAGGUCCCCCACAUUGGAACUGAGACACGGUCCAA
Molecule: ribosomal RNA, 255 nt
Filed under: uncultured bacterium
Lineage: Bacteria
Description: partial 16S ribosomal RNA
Rfam family: Bacterial small subunit ribosomal RNA
Source: RNAcentral